RNAcentral lists this ribosomal RNA (421 nucleotides) under uncultured bacterium. RNAcentral describes it as "partial 16S ribosomal RNA". It matches the Rfam family "Bacterial small subunit ribosomal RNA", at positions 361 to 774 of the family's 1533-position model. The record is from RNAcentral.
AUUUUGGACAAUGGGGGAAACCCUGAUCCAGCCAUCCCGCGUGUAUGAUGAAGGCCUUCGGCUUGUAAAGUAUUGUUGCCAGAGAAGAAAAGGUACCUCCUAAUACGAGGUACUGCUGACGGUAUCUGCAGCAUAAGCACCGGCGAACUACGUUCCAGCAGCCGCGGUACUACGUAGGGUGCAAGCGUUCACCGGAAUUACUGGGCGUAAAGCGUGUGUAGGCGGUUCGGAAAGAAAGAUGUGAAAGCCCAGGGCUCAACCUUGGAACUGCAUUUUUAACUGCCGAACUAGAGUAUGGCAGAGGGGGGUAGAAUUCCACGUGUAGCAGUGAAAUGCGUAGAUAUGUGGAGGAAUACCGAUGGCGAAGGCAGCCCCCUGGGAUAAUACUGACGCUCAGACACGAAAGCGUGGGGAGCAAACA